CUUGUCUUGGGAGCACCCUUUGAUUUUACAUCUGUAAGUAAUUACCAGUUCAAGUAAUUGACCUUUAUGAUGUUGUAGCAGUUGAAAUAUCAAGAUUUCUCUAUUUUUGUCUUCCAGUGCGACUUUCCAAACAUACGGAGAUGGUUGGCUCUUAUUCUUCUGGAGAACUUUGGGGUUUUCUCUGAAAGUGCAGAAACCCUACAAGAGUCCCUUCCAUGUGAAGAACAAGCUACGCUUAGCAGCAGUGAGGCGGAGCUCCCAAUAAUCCGGCACAUGAAAGAAGCUGUGAAAUGGCUCCAUUCCAACAGCCAUCUGCUCAGGGGUCCAGUGGAAGAGCCUCUUUUCAUUCGAAUGAACAGUCAGAAGCUUCCAGAGAGCCCUUUCUAUUUUAUUUUGUGUUCAGGGAUGACAUGGAGUUAUUUUUACAAGAAUGUAAGGACAAAAUGGGCCUGAGAGUGAAUUCCUCAUUUGAUACAUUUUAAGUUUAAUUUAUACAGGAUUGUCAUGAUAAAAUGGG
Molecule: long non-coding RNA, 517 nt
Organism: Xyrauchen texanus (razorback sucker)
Lineage: Eukaryota; Metazoa; Chordata; Actinopteri; Cypriniformes; Catostomidae
Exons: 3
Source: RefSeq, a predicted model, not a curated record